Molecule: non-coding RNA, 100 nt
Organism: Mycena rosella
Lineage: Eukaryota; Fungi; Basidiomycota; Agaricomycetes; Agaricales; Mycenaceae
Source: the annotation of a GenBank genome assembly
GCCCGCCUAGCUCAAUCGGAUAGAGCGUGUGACUUUUAUAACCGUUUGUCACAUCACGGUGGCAAUCACAAGGCUGCGAGUUCGACCCUCGCGGUGGGCU